UGCAGUGGAAGUCAAGAGAAUUGUGACAACAAUUCACUUGGAAGUUGGAAUGAUUGUGGUGACUUGAAUGAUAAUGCAGAUACAAACUCAUUGGGGAGUUGGAAAGACGGGGCUGAUGGGGGGGAGCCAUUUGAGGAGCCUUCCGUGGACAGGCAUUCAUCUGACAGUUGUAUAGAUGGUGCAGAUUCCGAUUCUCGGCCUUUUGGAGAGGCAACUACAAGUGAAGCGUGGGGGGGAGCCAUUUGAGGAGCGUUCCGUGGAUAGGCAUUCAUCUGACAGUUGUAUAGAUGGUGCAGAUUCCGAUUCUCGACCUGUUGGAGAGGCAACUACAAGUGAAGUAUUCAGCUCAUCCUUACCUGUGACUACCCCAAAAAUGAAGAUGUCGUGGGCAGAUAUGGCUCAGGAGGAUGAGCUUCAAGUAGAGGAAGUGAGUGAGUCAAUUGCCUU
RNAcentral lists this long non-coding RNA (447 nucleotides) under Nicotiana benthamiana. RNAcentral's name for it is "long non-coding RNA (NBEN_LNC016355)". Lineage: Eukaryota; Viridiplantae; Streptophyta; Magnoliopsida; Solanales; Solanaceae. The record is from RNAcentral.